This 433-nucleotide ribosomal RNA is filed under the name uncultured bacterium. RNAcentral describes it as "partial 16S ribosomal RNA". It matches the Rfam family "Bacterial small subunit ribosomal RNA", at positions 29 to 507 of the family's 1533-position model. The record is from RNAcentral.
AACGAACGCUGGCGGCAUGCCUAACACAUGCAAGUCGAACGAGACCUUCGGGUCUAGUGCCGCACGGGUGCGUAACGCGUGGGAACCUGCCCUUAGGUUCGGAAUAACUCCCCGAAAGGGGUGCUAAUACCGGCUAAUGUCUUCGGACCAAAGAUUUAUCGCCUUUGGGUGGGCCCGCGUUGGAUUAGCUAGUUGGUAGGGUAACAGCCUACCAAGGCGACGAUCCAUAGCUGGUCUGAGAGGAUGAUCAGCCACACUGGGACUGAGACACGGCCCAGACUCCUACGGGAGGCAGCAGUGGGGAAUCUUGGCAAAUGGGCGAAAGCAUGAUCCAGCAAUGCCGCGUGAGUGAUGAAGGCCUUAGGGUUGUAAAGCUCUUUUACACGGGAUGAUAAUGACAGUACCGGAAGAAUAAGCUCCGGCUAACUCCGUG